UUGGGAAUUUUGGACAAUGGGUGAAAGCCUGAUCCAGCAAUGCCGCGUGAGUGAAGAAGGCCUUCGGGUUGUAAAGCUCUUUUGUCAGGGAAGAAACGGUGAAAGCUAAUAUCUUUUGCUAAUGACGGUACCUGAAGAAUAAGCACCGGCUAACUACGUGCCAGCAGCCGCGGUAAUACGUAGGGUGCAAGCGUUAAUCGGAAUUACUGGGCGUAAAGCGUGCGCAGGCGGUUUUGUAAGUCUGAUGUGAAAUCCCCGGGCUCAACCUGGGAAUUGCAUUGGAGACUGCAAGGCUAGAAUCUGGCAGAGGGGGGUAGAAUUCCACGUGUAGCAGUGAAAUGCGUAGAUAUGUGGAGGAACACCGAUGGCGAAGGCAGCUCACUACGAAUGUAUUGACACUGAGGCACGAAAGCGUGGGGAUCAAACA
Molecule: ribosomal RNA, 427 nt
Filed under: uncultured bacterium
Lineage: Bacteria
Description: bacterial SSU rRNA
Rfam family: Bacterial small subunit ribosomal RNA
Source: RNAcentral